GUCCACGCCCUAAACGAUGAAUACUAGUCGUCAGAGUUCCUAAUUGCUUUGGUGACGUAGCUAACGCAUUAAGUAUUCCGCCUGGGAAUUACGGUCGCAAGAUUAAAACUCAAAGGAAUUGACGGGGCCCGCACAAGCGGUGGAGCAUGUGGUUUAAUUCGAUGCUACGCGAAAAACCUUACCCGGUCUUGAAAUCCCGCGCUACCUAGAGAAAUUUAGGGUUCCCUUCGGGGACGCGGUGACAGGUGCUGCAUGGCUGUCGU
This 263-nucleotide ribosomal RNA is filed under the name uncultured bacterium. RNAcentral describes it as "partial 16S ribosomal RNA". It matches the Rfam family "Bacterial small subunit ribosomal RNA", at positions 793 to 1055 of the family's 1533-position model. The record is from RNAcentral.